CCAAAUUGAGGUAGAGGUAUAAGUAUAACAAUAAUAUAAAGGGAGGCUUAUAUUAAAUCCCGUGCAAACAAGAGGGUAACAACACUAUAACUACACUAGGAACGUUACCCCUCCAUACCUCCCUCGGGGAGGCUUACCGGACACUUUCUCGAAACAACCUAGGGAGCUUUACAACCUCACGCUUGCAACCGUAGGCGGGAGAUAGAUAUAAGCCUAACUCAAUAUAAGGUUAGUUGCCCGUUUAGGGUUUAAGGUUACAUAUCAUUAUUAUAAAAAUAUACAUUAUAAUAACAUAGAUGUAUAUACUAUAUAGGGUUACACAUCAUUACUAAUCUACCUUAAUUAUAUAAUGUUAAUUGUAUAUACUACAAUCUAUAAUAAAGUUAAUUACAUAUAGGGGUGACAUCGAUUUG
Molecule: long non-coding RNA, 413 nt
Filed under: Gossypium raimondii (Peruvian cotton)
Lineage: Eukaryota; Viridiplantae; Streptophyta; Magnoliopsida; Malvales; Malvaceae
Description: long non-coding RNA (GRAI_LNC007372)
Source: RNAcentral